Long non-coding RNA from Oryctolagus cuniculus (rabbit), 1639 nucleotides. Lineage: Eukaryota; Metazoa; Chordata; Mammalia; Lagomorpha; Leporidae. The record is from Ensembl.
AUGGCACGUGAAGGCCGUGUCCCCACAGCCCCUACACGUGGACCACCUCCCAUACCCGCCAUGCUCCAUGUGGGAAAACAGAGGCCCGGGGAGGUCAAAGCAAGAGGCCAAGGUCACACAGCUUGGAGAGUCAGCUCUGGAGCAGAAAGUUCCAGACUGGAUGUUCUCAUGCUCUGCCCUCCGUGUUCGCCAGGCCCCUCGGCUGCCGGUCGGCCUCCUCCCACGCGCCUCCAGCCCACCCGUGCCUUCAGCCGCACACAGCUCUGUCAGGAUCUGAGUGGGGACGAGGGCAAACCUCCUGCCCCUUGGACAGGGCUGGGUCCCCAACUCGUGUCCCAAAGUCCUGGGGCGGGGGAUGGUGGUGGUAGUCACAGGAUAGAGGCCCGGUCCAAUUAUGUUGUCUGUAGGCGCGGCCUUGGAAAGCGACUCGGUGGGCUUAGGUUAUCAGGAGAUAGCCCCUGGCUGAGUCACCAGGGCUUUGCAAGGAGAGCCCACACGGGUGAGCAGAAUGAGCACCAACUCCCUCCGUCUGUCUGCUACCUGGCCCGCCAUGCGGUCCCCCUCCCCACAUGUUCCGCGUCUACCACCCUCAGACGCCAGACCAAUGGACCGCUGGACUGCGAACCUCCUAAACCGUGAGCCCAGAUACGCAUUCCCCUUCCUGAGCGGUUUGUCUUAGGUGUUUCAUUGCGCAGACAAAACCCUGACUGACACCAAUGGAUGAACACAGCGUGGCCUCAGAGAGCAAGGACAUUUGAGGACACUGCACCAAGUGAGGUCAGCCAGUCACCAAGACGGAUGCUGUGGGAGCCCGUCCAAGGCAGCAACCUCACAGGGCCCACAAGUAGGCUGGUGAUUGACAGGCUGCGAAGAGGGGGCGUGCAGAGGUGUUGUUUAACGGUGCAGAGGUUUGGCUUGAGACUGCGAGAACGUUCUAGAAGUGGAUGGUGGUGGUGACUGCACAAGACUGCCUAUACACUUAGUGCCACUGUGCUUGUAAGAAUGACAAAUGAUAAUUCCGUGGGAUGUGUAUUUUUGGCACAAUUAGAAAACGUUUUAAACGAGUGCAGGUUUGCGCCUAAGUGGAGAAGCCGAGACGGCCGUGAAAUAUGGGAGGCGGGGUCAGCAGAGCAGUCUGGCCCAGAAAGAUGGAUGGGACGGCUGCUGGCAUAUUGAUGGCUCCAAAGUCAAGACCCUGGAUGAGCUCACCGGGAGGGAGGGAGACGGGCCGAAGGACCAGCUGGGACCCGGGGAUGCUGCCCUCCCCACCCCCCUGCAAUGUUAGGUCCAGGAGAGGUGGGGGGAGCCGUGGGCCAGGCAGGCGGGGAGGAAGGGACACGGCUGGCUGGCCGGCACUCGCUUCCACCUGCCCGUGGCGCACACGGAUAUUUUUAGCUGCCUGCUUUCCCAGAAGUAGCUCUGCCCUCUCUGUUGCGUGGCCGGCUCGGCCGGGAGGCACCCGCUGGCCUCCCUCAGAACUGGGUCUCGCCCACACAGCGGGUGGACGGUGGGGUUUGCUGCAUCGGGUGCCGCAGUCCUUUCAUUACCUCUGAGCCAAGACAGCGAAGGCAGUUUGGCCUUUUAAUGAAAAUUGCUUCGGUGCUGUUUAUCACUGACACCUAGGAACUCUUUCCCGGAA